CUCUGGGCUGGGCGGCAGGGUCAGGGGCCGAGCGGAGCCGGUUGUUAUUUAGUAUGGAAGAAGAUGAGUUCUUUGGAGAAGAAACGUUCCAGCAUUAUUGUGCAGAAUUCAUUAAACAUUCACAGAAGAUAGGCGAUGGCUGGGAAUGGAGAACUUCAAAGGACUGUUCUGAUGGCUACAUGUGCAAAACACAGUUUCAAAUUAAAAAUGGGACUGCAGUGUCACAUCGAGGAACAUCUGCCCGUGUACAAACAUGUCUUCCCAUGGAGGAGGCUUUAGAGCCACCCCUGGAUGAUUUUGAGGUGACGGAGACCACCACGGCAACCGAAGUGAUUAAAUAUGAGUAUCAUGUCUUAUAUUCCUGCAGCUACCAAGUGCCUGUGCUUUACUUUAGGGCAAGCUUUUUAGAUGGAAGCCCUUUAGCUCUGAAGGACAUAUGGGAAGGAGUUCAUGAGUGCUAUAAGACUCGGCUGCUGCAUGGACCGUGGGACACUAUUACCCAACAGGAGCAUCCGAUACUUGGACAACCCUUUUUUGUACUUCAUCCCUGCAAGACGAAUGAAUUCAUGACUCCUGUGUUAAAGAAUUCUCAGAAAAUCAAUAGGAAUGUCAACUACAUCACGUCAUGGCUGAGCAUGGUAGGGCCAGCUGUCGGGCUGAAUCUGCCUCUGAGUUACGCCAGAGCAGCCUUUCAGGAUGAAGGAAACGUCGACAGACAAGAUUCUUCUAUUGAGCCAAAGAGCUUAGAAGAACUCUGAGAGUUUACGUGGCCAGCCCUGGUUUUAAUGGGACCAAUAUGGUGUGAGAUUCAGAUCACCGAGAUUUUGACGUGGAUUUUUUUCCCCUUGGAAGCAAAUGUCUGCAGCAACUGAUGUACUCUAUGUUUAGAAGACACACUGCAAAGACACAAAUCACUAUAAAUAGCAAAAAAGGAAUCUAACUUGGUAAUAGAAAUACUGACAUCAUCAGGGCACUUCCAGGUCGUUCCCUCAUGUCUCUGAGACUCAUUCUCUUCACCUUUAAUUUGAGAAUAACAAGCUACCUCACAGGGUUGCUGUGUGAAGCACAUGAGAGCCUUAGUGUAUGAGAAAAUACGGCUGGGUGGCAGGGGCAGCAGACCGAGAGCCCUGACCCGGCUCAUACGAAUGCCCCAGUCCAGUGUAGAAGACAGACAAGAAGAAGAUUGAUGGCACGACGUGUGUUGUAGCGGAGGUGUGGAAAGCAAGCACCAGGGAAGAGUCACAGAAGAGGAAUGCAAUUCUCGGGGCCUCCCUGGUGGUGCAGUGAUUAAGAAUCCACCUGCCAAUGCAGGGGACACAGGUUCGAGCCCUGGUCUGGGAGGAUCCUACAUGCCGCGGAGCAGCUAAGCCCGUGCGCCAGAACUACUGAGCCUGCGCUCUAGGGCCCGCAAGCCACAACUACUGAGCCCGCACACCUAGAGCCCAUGCUCCUCAACAAGAGAUGCCACCGCAAUAAGAGACCCGCGCACUGCAACGAAGAGUAGCCCCCGCUCACCACAACAGCAACAACGUGUGUGUGUGUGUCGCGCACAGCAGCGAAGACCCAACGCAGCCAAAAAUAAAUAAAAUGAAAUAAAUUAAUUAAAAGAAAGAAAAACAGGCAAUUCUCAUAAAAUGUUGAGUUAAAACAGAAAACGAAAACUAGAUAUGCAUGCCACUUAAUACUAUAUAAAAAAUACACUAAUACCACACAUUUUCUGUAGUAUAUAUAAGUAUAUGUAUCUAAAAACAUUAAAGUGGUCAGAAGGACACACAAAACUUGUAAGAGAGGUUACCUCAGAGGUGGAGAGUGGGAACUUG
This is an RNA transcript of Lagenorhynchus albirostris (white-beaked dolphin), 1820 nucleotides long. It is a transcript of the gene named autophagy related 10, with no coding region annotated. The record is from RefSeq and is a predicted model, not a curated record. The transcript has 10 exons. Lineage: Eukaryota; Metazoa; Chordata; Mammalia; Artiodactyla; Delphinidae.